RNAcentral lists this ribosomal RNA (305 nucleotides) under uncultured bacterium. RNAcentral's name for it is "partial 16S ribosomal RNA". It matches the Rfam family "Bacterial small subunit ribosomal RNA", at positions 508 to 807 of the family's 1533-position model. The record is from RNAcentral.
ACAGCAGCCGCCACGGGAAUACGUAGGUGGCAAGCGUUGUCCGGAAUUAUUGGGCGUAAAGGGCUCGCAGGCGGUUUCUUAAGUCUGAUGUGAAAGCCCCCGGCUCAACCGGGGAGGGUCAUUGGAAACUGGGAAACUUGAGUGCAGAAGAGGAGAGUGGAAUUCCACGUGUAGCGGUGAAAUGCGUAGAGAUGUGGAGGAACACCAGUGGCGAAGGCGACUCUCUGGUCUGUAACUGACGCUGAGGAGCGAAAGCGUGGGGAGCGAACAGGAUUAGAUACCCGUGUAGUCCCUGUCUCUUAUAC